CAUUUUGUCUUUGUAGUUGCAUUAGUGAAUGUUAAGUUUGUACUAUAACACUAUUUCUUUCUUCUCUUUCCCUCCUAUACCAGCUUUGACCUCAAAUCGACCCUGUGUUUUUGCCUGGGUUGCAUUCCCUCUAUAUUCUCCACUAAGGUGCUCUUUGCACAUUAACCUAGGACUCGCUCAGGACACUGGUUCCUCCUAUCAACGGCUACCUCAAGACUGAAAGAAACUUUGACCUCAAAUCGACCCUGUGUUUUUGCCUGGGUUGCAUUCCCUCUAUAUUCUCCACUAAGGUGCUCUUUGCACAUUAACCUAGGACUCGCUCAGGACACUGGUUCCUCCUAUCAACGGCUACCUCAAGACUGAAAGAAACUUUGACCUCAAAUCGACCCUGUGUUUUUGCCUGGGUUGCAUUCCCUCUAUAUUCUCCACUAAGGUGCUCUUUGCACAUUAACC
This is a long non-coding RNA of Protopterus annectens (West African lungfish), 453 nucleotides long. RefSeq lists it as uncharacterized. NCBI's taxonomy places the organism in Eukaryota, Metazoa, Chordata, Ceratodontiformes, Protopteridae. The record is from RefSeq and is a predicted model, not a curated record. The transcript has 3 exons.